GAACUGAAAAUGAAGCACUCACACAGGAAAUGCGGUCAGGCUCUGUACCGGAAGCCUUGUUACACGACGCGAAGGCAAUAAUGAACGCAACAUUUGGAAGAUAAAUAUUGGUUGAAAAGAAGGGGUAAAGUGGAGAUCAAAUUUAAACAGCAGAAUGUAAGCCAAUAUAUAUUACUUGUCAGAAUCAACUGCUGCAUUGCAAAUGAAACCUUUGCAGUUUUUAAAGUAUAAGUGUGGCAGAAGGGUUAUGGACUGUGUUUGCAACAUACACAGAAGUUAAAUUUGCUCAUUAACUGUGUGACUAAAGUGAUAAACUCCAGACUGCUCACCAAAAAAACCCUCCUCUUGUCACCAUCCUCCUUCAAUUUUUCACUGUACGCAUCUCAUGCCGCUGUCACUCAGUCUUUGCUCACAGUUUGUGGUCAGGAAGUACUUCUCUGACAUUUCACUGACAAUGUGUUCCACAGUAGUGGCACGCCAAGAGGAGGGUUUUCACAUCAAAAGAUUUACUACAAAAAAAUGGACCAAAUCUGGAUUAUAUAGCAGCACAGUUGUGGAGGGUAAUUUCUAAAUCUUUUUAUUUUUUUAUCAUAGAUUUUGUAGUUGUCACUUUGUGGCACGUUUAGGUUUUUGUAGCAGGAAGAGUGAAUGUGGGAGGAACAGAGCAGAUGUAAUGCCGGCCAGAUAAGACGGUUUUUUACUAAAGCCCACUGGUUAUCACAAGGUCUUCUCUUCCAGCUCAUGCUCAAUGGUGUGUGUUGCAAUUUCCAGCCAUGUGAUUCUGCAGAUGUGAAAGAACUGAAGACAGAGAAGAAGGAUUCUGCACACGAGCAGUUCGGCACUAACAACGAGAUCUAAUGGAAAACAGAGGAGGAUACCCAAAGUUUGGUAACAUCCUAUCCCAUUGAAACAGAGGAGUGAAGAAAAAGACUCAGAGUGUGAGGCAGACUCCUGCGUUUCAUAUAGAACCAAAAAAAGAAAAAAAGGAGGAGGUCAGCAGUUAUCUCACAGGACAGGAAGAGCCAAAAGGAGAAGAAACUUCAACAAAGGGUGUUGAGACUGAACAAGACAUUGAUAAAACACUGAGUGAGAGUACAUCUCAGGAGUUUCCCAGCUUCCAGGUGGACUUUACAGCUCAUGUAAACCCAGAAAGUGGAACAGGAGGAGAUCGGUAUUCAUCUGAACAGACAGGAAGAGCUUGAAAGUGGAGAAACUGAAGCAAAAACUGUUGAAACUCAGUCAGACUCAAUCAAAAUACUUGUUGAGUAGGUUCAAAGCUCCAAGAAUGAGGUGGACUGUUUUUGGACAAAAACAGAGGAAAAGCCAACAGCCUGGACUGGAAGAAUCAACAUCAGAAUAACGGAGCCGGUAAUGAAGAAAGUGAGGAGCCACAGUCCACCAGCUGUGUCAGAGAGGUGUGAGUAUUUUGACAGAUCGUCGUUAAUCUACCACACAUCUGAGAUAUGCAUUUGGAGCAGUAAUUUGUUUGAUUCUGAUGGACUUUAAGUCCAUGACACAGGAACUACCAGUAUUACCUUCACGUAAUGAAUUAAAGAUUGCCAGUGUAAUUUAAAUGUAAUCCUUUAUUACUGCUGUCUUGGAAAUGUGAUGUUACAUAACUUUUGUGUUACUUUUAACUUAACACCUGCUGAAGUAGAACAUAAAAGGGAAGUUUAUGGUUUAUUAAGAACUACUACAGCUGUAGUUUAUGAUUGGUAAAGUGAAACUGCAGGAACAAAAAUUGGAGGAUCAAUCCAUAAACUUUUUAAAUAAAAAUAAAAAUUUCCAUUUUGAAAAAAGAGAAAACACAAACAUAAAAAAAGAACCAGAGGCAUCCAUCAACAAAAACUAUACACUUGAAGUAUAAUUUUAUUAACUACACUUGAGUAUAAGUAUAAUAUGUAUAGUUAUAGCAAGUGCACUAUAGACCAUGUAUGUGUAGUGUGGGAAUUAUGCUAGCUGAAUACUUCUUCAGACUAAAUUGGACUAAAUUGGAACAUUUUAAGUCUACAAUAUAUGAUAGUAUAUAAAAGGUAAGCUUCAAGUAUACUAGCUCAUUUUUAGUAUUGACCCAGUAUGCUUGUAGUACACUUAAAUAGAUGACUUUUUGCCAAGAGCUGUGUGCCUCAGACAGACUACAACAAAUGCUUCAUAAAAGCAGGUUAAUGGUACACUGCUCAGCCUGCAACAAGACAGAUGUUGUCCCUGUGGAAAAAACAGGACAGGAUGCAGUUAUUUGGAACACAGAAAUGAACUAAAGGUGUUUGGAUUUAAGAGCUCAACAGGAAAUUUGAUUCAUUAAGUAAUAAUAACUUUAAAAAGCUCAAAAAUAAUCAAAAUUAAGCAAAAAAAAGCUUUUUCUGUUAAUGUCUUUUAGUUUCACUGCUUUAGGAAAUUUGGUUAGUCUUUUGCGAUACAAAAGUUACUGAACACGUACUUCCUAAACAACUGUUACAGUAAAAAGUAACAUUCUACUGCACUAUAUUACUUUUGUAACGAAUCACUACUCUCUCAACUGUCCUAAAAAUAAAAAAGGAGAACUUUCCAAAUUAACCUUUAUUUUGAAUAACAUUGAUUCUGUAACCUAGAGAAGUAUCAGUUGAGACAAGAGACAGGACAGGACAGGACAUUUGAUUGGCUAUAUCCAAUCCAAUAUAUAUCCAAUCAUCAGGGAUGUUAAUUUCCCUAAAUUUAUAUUCAACGAAAAGCCUUAAUUUAAUAUAUUUAAUGGUUUAUUUACUGAAACGGCACAAAACAUGUUAACUAUUGAAUCUGUUUGACCAAAUUUAGAGUUAUGCCAAUCAUCUGAUGUGGAUGUGAUCGUCUCUCACCUUUUUUAACUACGCAAAGUGUAGGAAGUAGUGGAUAAAAUGAGUACAGAGUCGUGAUAAUGUCAUCCUGGAGGUUUUAGUUCCUGCUUGGUGUGGGUUGUUUUACUCUGGUCAUCGUGGGGGGGUCUGUGGUACAGAGGUAGAGCGGUCGACCUCUGAUGGAAUAUUACAGAUUCGGUUCCCGCCUUGUCCGUUCAUGCGAUGAAGUGACCUUGAACAAGACACUGAACCCCACAUUGCUCCUGGUGGUUAUAGGGCCAGUAUUUGCCAUCAGUGACUGUACAUCAUUUUAGUUCUUCUAAGACAGUAGUAAAGAGAUGUAUAAGUAUACACCCUUCCUAUCAUGGUUAAAUUGAGAUUUAAAAUGGGUACUUUUAACUAGUGUAAGUAGUUAGAAUUGUAUAAAUAUAAAGAUAUCAACCUGCAACAAGUCAUUAUUUUCAUAUGGAAGUAUCUCAACUUCCUUUUCCAUUUUGAAAUGCUUUUGCUAUGAUAUAAAACCUUUAUCAGGAACUGUUUUCAGUUUUUUCCACUCUUUGUAAGGUGAUAGCUGUAGAACUGCUAAAAAAUGACACAUCCUUUAUUUCUACACUUACAGAGGAGCUCAGGUACCUGCUUUCUGAGGAACGUCUGCAUUCAGGAGCUGAAGAAGACCGAAGGAUACCAGAACCAAUGAGGUUCAGAAUGAAGAGGCAUGAUUGUGUGGAGAUGUAGAUCAGGAUGUGGAGCCUGAAAAGCCAAAUGAUGCAGAAAGCAUAAAAAUAAAUAUUGACAAUUGCAGAAGAGAGCACAGAAAGCACACAACAUCAAGCAGAGGUGCUGGGAAAUCUUGAUGGGACAAACCGUGUAGAGUAACUUCAGAGUUCCCAAACAUUUUUUCAGGGGAUCAAGAGGCUUCAGUGAAGCCU
This 3739-nucleotide long non-coding RNA is filed under the name Oryzias sinensis (Chinese medaka). RNAcentral's name for it is "lncRNA (ENSOSIG00000016433.1)". Lineage: Eukaryota; Metazoa; Chordata; Actinopteri; Beloniformes; Adrianichthyidae. The record is from RNAcentral.